UCACCCCUCAAGCCUAGCUUGGUGUUGGACGGCGGCUGUGGGCUUCCCACGACCCCUCCCAAAGUUAAUGACGGCGGCCUGUUAACCCCCGGUACACUGAGCUUCUUCACAGGGCACGUAUCGGUUUCAAGGGUGGCGGGACCCGGUCUUCUUCCUUAACGGAAAAUUUUCUAAGG
This 176-nucleotide unclassified non-coding RNA is filed under the name uncultured Cladophialophora. Its description in RNAcentral is "sequence contains ITS2". Lineage: Eukaryota; Fungi; Ascomycota; Eurotiomycetes; Chaetothyriales; Herpotrichiellaceae. The record is from RNAcentral.